AAACUCAUUCUUUCUUUCUUUCUUCUUCAAGAAACGAAUGAAACAAAACGCACACACAUUGUGGAUUGCAACAGAUCCAUUCUUUCUUCUUCAAGAAUCGAAUGAAACAAACACCUCUGUGUUGGAUGUUCGGUGGUUCGCUCAAUCAUCACAAACAACAUUCAAUCUCUUCUGUUUGCUACGGUAAUUUAUUCAACUUUCUUUGUUGAUUCAGAUACCCAUUUUCUCAUUCUUUAUGAUUAACAAAACAUUC
RNAcentral lists this long non-coding RNA (253 nucleotides) under Trifolium pratense (red clover). RNAcentral's name for it is "long non-coding RNA (TPRA_LNC010549)". Lineage: Eukaryota; Viridiplantae; Streptophyta; Magnoliopsida; Fabales; Fabaceae. The record is from RNAcentral.